GCCCUGCUUAGGAAGAGCCGGGCUGAUGGAUCGUCACCGCCGAGAAACUCAUUUUGUGAGUCGGAAUUUAAGAGCCAGAACCAACUAGCCAGCCCCCCCAAUAGGUUUCUGUUUACACACCACAAAUCUCCGGUUGGAGCAGGUCCUCCCACCCCCAAAAAACAGGCCAAUCGGGGGAAAAGCAACUGUCCUAGUGCUGGAAUCUUCUGUAAUUUAAUCAGUGUUGCAGAUUAGGUUGUAUCGAAGACACCACUGUGAAAAGAAGAUUCUGGCCUUUGUGUCCCGACACUGAAAGCUGCCUCUUAAAAAAAACAAACACCCCCCCAAACCCCGAUUUCACACAGGUUAGGGUAGGAGGGAUUCUUUCAGUGAUUUCUUUCUGAAUAAACAUGUCUUACUCAGAUCUUAAAGUCUGUGGGAAUAUUGAGUGCAUGAGUUUGGUCUCUCUCUCUUUUUUUUUCUUCGAGACAGCGUUUCUUUGUGUCACAGCCCUGGCUGUCCUGGAACUCGCUCUGUAGACCAGGCUGGCCUCGAACUCACAGAUUUCCUCCUGGCGGGCAAUAAGGAAAUACAAAGAAAAAAAAAAACUUUAAGAAACACCAUGUGAUCACCAUGUGAUUAGGAGGGCUCAGGAGAGUCAGUGAGGGUCAGGGUCAGGGUAGUCUCAAAAACAAAUCAAGGUCGUGAGUUGGGGAAGGUCAGGUUCCAGGAAACAGAGCUACUCAACUCUCACAGUAAAUACAAACUUCUUUUUAAGACUACAUCAUACUGGCUCCUGCCUUCAAAAUGGAGUCCUCAAAAUGAAGUUCAUCUGAACAAUGAGCCACCAACUUCCGGAGCGUAAAGAGUGUCCCCUCUAGUAUUAUAAGUGUCCCUCUUCUUCCCUCUCCCACACCCCGUUGUUUUCUUCCGCCCUCCUUCCCCUUUCUAUGAUUUUUAGGUUUUGUUUGUGGUAGAACCUCCCUGCAGCCCAGGCUGGCCUUGAACUUGCUUUGUAGUCUGGCCCUCUGAGCCAUCUGCGCGCUGGGAUGACAAGGCAGGCACCCCAUUCCAGCGCACAAAAGAUGUGUUUUUCAGUCCUGGGGAUCAGAGCCAAGUCUUUGAGCACUAGGUGAGGGACAUGAUCUUAUCAAGACUAGCAUUACAAAAGCCUCUCCAGCCUGUGGUGAGCUCGGGGAAGUGACAGAUGAAGUCAGCCAUCAAUCACUGCCAGAUGCAUUCUCUCCACUGGUAAGGUGAGGAGGCUGAAGCUGGGACAGCAACUCCAGGGCUUAAUCCGGAUUACAAAAUCAGUCUUUGGGCUAAAAGCCAUUAGUGGAUACUCAGGCUUCUGAUAAAAGCCCAUUAGUCCUUCCACUAAGCCACUUGGCUUUAGAUAAUUACUGUAUAAAAACUACUGAAAAUGGAAAAGUAUCUGAAGUAAAGCCGAUAUAAUUUCAAUAUUUGAGAAACUUUAUUUUAUGUUAAAUGUAUGAUGUACAGAGUAAAGACUAAUCCAUAAAUGUAAAGGUGAAUAUAAAUGUAACAUUUGUAACUCUUUUCUUCUUAACAUGUAAGAGACAGCUGUAUAAAACAAUCAUCCUGCUAAAAUUAAAUUGGUUUUAAUUUGAUUA
Long non-coding RNA from Peromyscus eremicus (cactus mouse), 1613 nucleotides. RefSeq lists it as uncharacterized. The record is from RefSeq and is a predicted model, not a curated record. NCBI's taxonomy places the organism in Eukaryota, Metazoa, Chordata, Mammalia, Rodentia, Cricetidae. The transcript is spliced from 2 exons.